RNAcentral lists this long non-coding RNA (2164 nucleotides) under Medicago truncatula (barrel medic). RNAcentral's name for it is "lncRNA gene24765". Lineage: Eukaryota; Viridiplantae; Streptophyta; Magnoliopsida; Fabales; Fabaceae. The record is from RNAcentral.
GGAAUAUGUGAGAACGAGAAAUGAAAUUUCAAACUAUAAUAUUAUCUGCAAAUAAAUUACUUUUCAACCAAAUAAAUUAAUCAUAAAUUUUUUGCAAAUAACAGGUGUACAAUAGUGUCAAAAUUUGUUGAUAGCAUUAGAUCUAGAGCUGAGGAACAUCGGUGCUACAUCAUAUUUCCAGCUUCUGAAUCAAGUCAAUACACCCAGUUCCCAUCUUCACCGGCAAACCGAGACAAAUUCUAGAAGAAGGAGUCUCCAAGGUGUCUACCUGCCCAUGACGAGCCGCUUCAACAAUGAAGUUGGAUGCUGUCUCAUAAGAUAUUUUGACAAAAGGGGAUGUAGAAUCUGCUAUCCCCGAUCUGGUCAAAGGGCGAUAGGAACCAGAAUGUGUCAUAAAGUCAGCAAUAAGCAUCAAGUGUCUGAUGUUUACCGAUAUCCCAUAAGACUUGAAAACAUUUUGUACUUCCCGGAUGAUGACUUCUUUGGCUGCUUCCACCCCAUAGGCUUUUAGUAUAGCAUGCACGUCAUUUGAAUAAACAUACCUAACUUUCAGAUCAUCUUCCAUCUCCCAAAAUGUUUUGAAAUGUAUACCAGACGUUUGAAGUGCUGGUAUUUUUUCUUUAACUGAUGACGGAAUAUCAUCCCUUUUACUAUCAUCUUCACCAUAGUAGAUUACGCCACUUUCUUUACAUGUAAUAGCUUUACAUUGGCCAACCUUACCAAAGUUCUGGAUACAAACCUUCUCGGCUGUUCUCUGAGCAAUCUGCAUACAGAUAAUUAAAGAACCGUCAGUUUUAUAUGAUGAGCAAGGAGUAAAAUAGAAAAUUGACAGUAUUCGCUUCCUGGUUUUAUUUCACUACAUAAUUUCAUUAUAACCCAGUUGUUACUAUUUCUUGUCCACAUACCAAAGGACCAUGCAUAGCUAUCCUAUCAACAACUAAAUCCUCUGUCCACUAGGAGGAACCAGUUACAUGGAACACAAUGGUAAAAUGCAUUGUCAUUAAUCAAUCAUAAUGACAGAUCAUUUAAAUACAGAACGCCAAUUGAGGCUAGCUGUGAUUAGUAAAAACCAGGAGAGGAGGAAUUGGAUGUGUUGUUGAAGCAAGUACAACUCGAUAGGUAUCAUGGGGCAGUAGCUGAGUCUCAAAGGCCCUGGUCAAUGUGUGCUGUCUGUCUAGGGGAGCAUCAACUAUUAUUGGUACUGGAGCUACCAGUAAUUAGCUGUUACACAGGCUUGUUCAUGCUUUGGGUUUGAAGGUAAUGGUAAUUGAAGAUGCAAGAGCUCCUAUAGAGUUAAGGAUAGAUAGAGUCGUAGCAAAUAGAAAUCCACAGUCAAACAUAUUUUUGGAGUUGGGUUACUUAAAAAAGUUCACUAUUAAACAGAAAAUGUUUUGCAGUAGAAAGUACCUGAGCCAAUAAUAUGUGAGGUUCACCAAUAAAUUUAAAGUGGAUCUCGAAACGCAUUCCCCCGGCUUUCACAUAAACUCUCCGGUCAUAUUUUUUGCUCGCGGGUUCAAAUUUUCUCUUUUUAGAUUUUGAAGUUUCUUCAAGUGUCACAUUUUUAUCACUGUCAUUUACUUCAAUAUCACUGUCAUCUCCAUUUACUUCAACACCAUUGUCAUCUUCAUCAUCUUUACCAUCCUCAGAGACUUCAACGUCCUCUGACUUCUCACCAUCAUGUGUUUCCUCUUCAGGACCAUCAUCGUAAUCAACCUCAUCCGUAGCUCGUUGUUUACUCUUUUGAGCAUCAAAACCAUCUUCCUCAGCAUCCUCUGUAUCACCAACUUCGUCGUCAUCAUCAGUUUGACCAUUUUGGUUGGAUGCCGAUUCAUUGCUAUGAUCAUUAUCUAAACCAUUUGAAGAAUUUGAUUUGCCUUGAAAAUCUUUUAUGCCACUAAUUCUAGCCAGCAAUGAAAUGUGAUUUUCAAUCGCAUCCUCCAAUUCCCUCACAAAGCCAACUCUUAGAGUUUCCUCCCAGUCUUCAAGGGUAACAUCCGUGUAUUUGGGAUAGUGUUUAGGUUUAUGCAGCUUCAUUGUAAGCUUAUAUAUACUGCAAAUGCGGCCCUCUUUUACAGCUACUGGUACAACAGAAACUUUCAUACUCUCAAUUAUGUCAGCUACUGUAAUCUUUUUCAUUUUGUCUGCAAGACGAAUAGCAUCUUCC